GACGUGGGCGACGCCUGGAUACGCCAGGCCGCGUGUGUGAAGAAGGUCUUCCGGAUUGUAAAGCACUUUAAGUUGGGAGGAAGGGCAGUAACUUAAUACUUUGCCGUUUUGACGUUACCGACAGAAUAAGCACCGGCUAACUCUGUGCCAGCAGCCGCGGUAA
This 163-nucleotide ribosomal RNA is filed under the name uncultured bacterium. RNAcentral's name for it is "partial 16S ribosomal RNA". It matches the Rfam family "Bacterial small subunit ribosomal RNA", at positions 368 to 523 of the family's 1533-position model. The record is from RNAcentral.